RNAcentral lists this ribosomal RNA (232 nucleotides) under uncultured bacterium. RNAcentral's name for it is "partial 16S ribosomal RNA". It matches the Rfam family "Bacterial small subunit ribosomal RNA", at positions 356 to 605 of the family's 1533-position model. The record is from RNAcentral.
GGGGAAUAUUGGACAAUGGGGGCAACCCUGAUCCAGCAAUGCCGCGUGUGUGAAGAAGGUCUUCGGAUUGUAAAGCACUUUCGACGGGGACGAUGAUGACGGUACCCGUAGAAGAAGCCCCGGCUAACUUCGUGCCAGCAGCCGCGGUAAUACGAAGGGGGCUAGCGUUGCUCGGAAUGACUGGGCGUAAAGGGCGUGUAGGCGGUUUACACAGUCAGAUGUGAAAUCCCCG